Molecule: long non-coding RNA, 1151 nt
Organism: Prunus avium (sweet cherry)
Lineage: Eukaryota; Viridiplantae; Streptophyta; Magnoliopsida; Rosales; Rosaceae
Source: RefSeq, a predicted model, not a curated record
ACUGUGGACAGAGAGAGAGAGAGAGAGAGAUGGCAAUGGGUCAGGUCAAUAUAGCUGUAAGGCGGACAAAAAAAACCCACAAUUAAAUACUGACUCUUAAUGCUACAGAAGAGCAGAAGAGAGGAGAGAGAGAGAGAGAGAGAGAGAGAGAGAGAGAGAGAGAGAGCUAGAGGUGCAUAAAAAGCUAGCAUUUAUGCAGAUGAGGGAGGAAGAUAUAGCUAGAGAGAGCUGUAGGGGGAGAAUUGUCACGAGGCUUCUUUUUCUCUUACCUAAAACAUGCAUGCCUCGAGUGUUUGUGUGCCAGGAGCUUCAGCUGGUUGCUUAAAAAGAGCCUUAAUUUCCAUCAAAGGCCAAACCUUUAUGCAGCGUCUUGCUUCUUCUUUCUUCCCUUGUCUGGUUUUGUUGGUUUGAGAGCUUGAAGCUGCCAGCAUGAUCUGGUAUACUUAACCUAUAGCUAUAUCAGCAUCACACUACUAGUAAUAUAUAUAUAUAUGUAUAUAUUUUAGAUCUUGUAGCACCAAAUUAUAAAUAUAUAUGUAUGGCCAAAUAGGUAGAGAUUGAUUUUUAGAUAUACAGAACCAAACUUUGGUGGAUGCCAUCAUUUCUUAUAGAUCUUGAUAAUUUCAUGUUUUUGAAGAGAAGGGUUUUUAGUUAAUUAAUUAACCAAGAGAAUUGACAUCCUGCUAAUUACAUAUAUAUUUAUUUUUUCAAUCAAACAAUUGCAAGUUGAUCAGAAACCUCUUUGAACUUAGUUUAAUUAUUACUAGCUAGAUAUAUGUAAGGUUCUUCUACCAGGUCAUCUUGCAGCUUCAAUCACUCACACCAACAAUAGAAAAACUUCUUUAGCUAAGGAUAUAUACAAGGGCUCUUCCCAAGCGCAGGUUUUUUUCAGGGAGAAGCUUUCACUACCAAAGGGCCUUUCUUUCCAAUUGUACUGACAUGUAUUAGCUUUGUUAUGCUUUAAUAGGAGAUUUUCAAGUUUACCAUGUUUAUAUAUUAUUAAGAGUCAUUUUGAAAAACCUGUAAGAGGGUGUAACAAAUGUAAUUUGAUAAUGCAUCCAUUCUCCUUGUCUUUCUUUAUCUUUAUUUUUGUGAAAGUUACAUCCCUUGGCAUAUAUAUAAAACCCAGACAUUUUGAUCUGCUACACAAA